Molecule: ribosomal RNA, 468 nt
Filed under: uncultured bacterium
Lineage: Bacteria
Description: partial 16S ribosomal RNA
Rfam family: Bacterial small subunit ribosomal RNA
Source: RNAcentral
GACGAACGCUGGCGGCGUGCUUAACACAUGCCAGUCGAACGGAAAGGCCCUGCUUUUGUGGGGUGCUCGAGUGGCGAACGGGUGAGUAACACGUGAGUAACCUGCCCUUUACUUUGGGAUAACUUCAGGAAACUGGGGCUAAUACCGGAUAGGAGCUCCUGCUGCAUGGUGGGGGUUGGAAAGUUUCGGCGGUUGGGGAUGGACUCGCGGCUUAUCAGCUUGUUGGUGGGGUAGUGGCUUACCAAGGCUUUGACGGGUAGCCGGCCUGAGAGGGUGACCGGCCACAUUGGGACUGAGAUACGGCCCAGACUCCUACGGGAGGCAGCAGUGGGGAAUAUUGCACAAUGGGCGGAAGCCUGAUGCAGCAACGCCGCGUGCGGGAUGACGGCCUUCGGGUUGUAACCCGCUUUCGCCUGUGACGAAGCGUGAGUGACGGUAAUGGGUAAAGAAGCACCGGCUAACUACGUG